RNAcentral lists this unclassified non-coding RNA (300 nucleotides) under Melitaea cinxia (Glanville fritillary). RNAcentral's name for it is "misc RNA ENSMCXG00005001635.1". The record is from RNAcentral. Lineage: Eukaryota; Metazoa; Arthropoda; Insecta; Lepidoptera; Nymphalidae.
CAGAACAGAAUAGAACAGAACAGAAUAGAACAGAAUAGAACAGAAUAGAACAGAACAGAGUAGAACAGAACAGAAUAGAACAGAAUAAGAACAGAACAGAAUAGAAAAAGAACAAACAGAACAGAACAGAAUAGAAUAGAACAGAAUAAGAACAGAACAGAACAGAACAGAAUAGAACAGAACAGAAUAGAACAGAACAGAACAGAACAGAAUAGAACAGAACAGAAUAGAACAGAAUAAGAACAGAACAGAAUAGAGCAGAAUAGAACAGAACAGAAUAGAACAGAAUAGAACAGAACA